This 505-nucleotide ribosomal RNA is filed under the name uncultured bacterium. RNAcentral describes it as "bacterial SSU rRNA". It matches the Rfam family "Bacterial small subunit ribosomal RNA", at positions 19 to 518 of the family's 1533-position model. The record is from RNAcentral.
CUGGCUCAGGAUGAACGCUAGCGGCAGGCUUAACACAUGCAAGUCGAGGGGCAGCGCGAGUAGCAAUACUUGGCGGCGACCGGCGCAAGGGUGCGUAACGCGUGAGCAACAUGCCCGUAUCAGGGGGAUAAUCCAGGGAAACUUGGUCUAAUACCCCAUAGUAAUUUUGUAAGGCAUCUUAUAAGAUUUAAAGCUUUGGUGGAUACGGAUUGGCUCGCGUGACAUUAGCUGGAUGGUAAGGUAACGGCUUACCAUGGCUAUGAUGUCUAGGGGUUCUGAGAGGAAGGUCCCCCACACUGGAACUGAGACACGGUCCAGACUCCUACGGGAGGCAGCAGUGAGGAAUAUUGGACAAUGGAUGGAAAUCUGAUCCAGCCAUGCCGCGUGAAAGGAAGAAGGUCCUAUGGAUUGUAAACUUCUUUUGUAUGGAAGCAAUAAGGCCUACGAGUAGGUUGAUGAGAGUACCAUACGAAUAAGCACCGGCUAACUCCGUGCCAGCCGCCGC